GCUGAGAAUUCCAAAGUUUCUCUAACUGUCAAUUCGCCAAUGUGAAUAUCGUUUUGACUGACAUAAGCAGCAGUUCUUUGAGGUACAAAUUCAUUCAUCUCAUGACCAUUAUAAGUCACCUUCCCAGAGAACUGAUAAUGAAAUUAAAGAUUGUUACCUAGCUAGAAAUUGAAAAUGGAAAAUAUAACUAAAUAACAUGUUUUCAUUUUUCUUAAGCUACCUUUAGCUUCGGAUCAAGUUUUCCAGCCAAGGCCAAAAGGAGCGUCGUUUUUCCAGAACUUGGAGGGCCUAACAGCAAUGUCAUCCUGGAGAUGUAUCGAUUAGCAAAUGUAAGUAUAUUAAAUUAAAUAUAUUUGAUACAUAUCAUAUAUACUUGGAAUCCAUGUUCAAUUGUUACCUGCCAG
RNAcentral lists this long non-coding RNA (404 nucleotides) under Trifolium pratense (red clover). RNAcentral describes it as "long non-coding RNA (TPRA_LNC002919)". The record is from RNAcentral. Lineage: Eukaryota; Viridiplantae; Streptophyta; Magnoliopsida; Fabales; Fabaceae.